Arachis stenosperma is the source of this 1778-nucleotide RNA transcript. RefSeq lists it as uncharacterized. The record is from RefSeq and is a predicted model, not a curated record. NCBI's taxonomy places the organism in Eukaryota, Viridiplantae, Streptophyta, Magnoliopsida, Fabales, Fabaceae. The transcript is spliced from 5 exons.
CGUUUUCUGGAAGGUGUAUAUAUUCAUCUAUACUGAACCCCAGACAUUCGCAAUUGUAGUAUAAGCAUCGAUCAACGCGAGACUCGAAAUACAUUAUCCAGGGUUACGGUUUUCUGCAAUUUUGACUCUCAUGGCUUCUUCCUCUAUCAUCACUCCGGAGGAUGUGCUUGAGUCCCUCAUGAACGACGGCACAAUCGAUGCCCUCAGAUUGAAGAUCAUCAACCAGCUCAAGGCCAAUGAGGAAUUGAAGAGCACUACUAUAAAGAUGGCUGAACAGAGUAGGGUUCUGAACACCCCUGGAGCUGAGAAACAGACCAAAAGAGAGCUGUUUGAUGCGCUUCGGCAAGAGCUCGAAGCUUCUGUACUUGAAAAAGCCUCUAAAUCAGUUUGGGAGUUAAUUUUAGACAAUAAUGGCCUGGGAAAGGAGAUAAGUGAAACAGUUGAAAAAGUGUUUUGUCGAUUGAGUGGCCAAGAGCCUCCUUUAUUUCCACUUCCAAAUGGGGAACCACAACCUGAUAAGGAGGCUGACAGCAGAAAAGAUAAAGGCAAAGGAAAGCAAAAAGAAAACGAGAAUGUAAAUUUAAACACGCCACCAAAGAAAAGAAGCUUUGCCGAAAUAAAUUCAGAAGGAGCAGAAGAAACUACAACCAGGUCUUCUGAUCCUGCAGCGAUGUCAGAAGGCUCUGGCAAAUCACCGCUUUCAAUCUCAAAAACUUGAUUUAUGCUUCAUCUUUAAACUAUUUUAAGGUUGUUACAGGACACAUUAGGAAUAUAAUUUGAACAUCAUGAUUUAUGCAAUGGUUGAAGUCCACUGGUUGACAUGCUAUUAUAUCAGUCUGCUUGCCCCAAAGCAAUUAAAUCCCUCAGGGCACAUUAUUCUUUCUCUUUACUUUCAAUCUAGAAGGGGUGGUUUUGUGAUGGCAAUACGCAACCAAGGAAACUGGAAACCUUGGACUCCUUUUUAAGUCAAUGGUUGUGGGUGGCACCUUUGCUCAGAAGUGAUGUUUCAUCCAGCUUUGAAAUCCAUGAACCAGCUUCUGCUUAUAGCUCCUUCAGGUGGUUCUCUUGCUGCCCCAGGCUACCCUACCAAUAAAAAUAAAAAAUAAAUCAAUAAGAAGACAUAGGAUAUUCUCUUGGCCACUCACUGUCCAUUUGCUGUUUUGGUAUAAUUUCUCUUGAAAUAAAUUUUUAAAGAAUGAUCUUAGAAUUUUUCAGAGAUCUGAUUUAUGUUUGAGAAUGAUGUUAAACAGUGAGCGCUUAAAUAAGUUUGUUAUUGAAAAUAGUAUUAUUACUAUUAUAUGUUUCAUGGUUUGGGUCCAAAUUUUUCUAAAGGUAUUAAGUUCAAGUUUCUAGAUCAACGUAUCAAUCUGCCUAGUUAAUUCAUAAAAUCGUCCAGUUUAUUAGUCUAGGUCCUCAAGUCGAGUUUACAAGUUGAGUUUUACCAUCCAACUUUAUUUAAAUUUCCUAAGUUUAUGUGAACUAUUGAGUUUGAAAACCUUAAUUUCUAUACCAAAGUACUAUGUCCUUGAAGUCUCAAACUUUACGAUAAUUUGCUUCGAGUCUUUUCAAAUAAUAGUUUAAGCUUCUUGAAAAUCUAUUUAUCAUAAUCUUCUGGGAGUCAAAACUAAAUGUUUUUUUGAAAUAUUUGGAUCUAUAUCAAAAUGAAGUUUUGAAUAUUAGUGAUAAAAUGGUUUACUAAAUACUUAGUUAAGCCAAAAGUGAGUCUGCAAUAAUUAUUAUUGCUUAAAAAUGAAGUUACCAAGAAAGACACGUUACAU